UACGUAGGGGGCAAGCGUUGUCCGGAUUUAUUGGGCGUAAAGAGCGUGUAGGCGGCCAGACAAGUCUGCUGUGAAAACUCGAGGCUCAACCUCGAGACGUCGGUUGAAACCGUAUGGCUAGAGUCCGGAAGAGGAGAGUGGAAUUCCCGGUGUAGCGGUGAAAUGCGCAGAUAUCGGGAAGAACACCCGUGGCGAAGGCGGCUCUCUGGGACGGUACUGACGCUGAGACGCGAAAGCGUGGGGAGCGAACAGG
Molecule: ribosomal RNA, 253 nt
Filed under: uncultured bacterium
Lineage: Bacteria
Description: partial 16S ribosomal RNA
Rfam family: Bacterial small subunit ribosomal RNA
Source: RNAcentral